GCUGGGUGUGGUGGCAGGCACCUGUAAUCCCAGCUACUUGGAAGGCUGCGGCAGGAGAAUCGCUUGAACCCAGGAGGCGGAAGUUGCAGUGAGCCGAGAUAGUGCCAUUUGCACUCCAGCCUGGGUGACAAGAGCGAGACUAUGCCUCAAAAAAUGAUAAUAACUUUUUUUUUUUUUGAGACAGAGUUUCGCUCUUGUCACCCAGGCUGGAGUGCAAUGGCGCGAUCUCGGCUCACCGCAACCUCCGCCUCCUGGGUUCAGGCAAUUCACCUGCCUCAGC
This 280-nucleotide small RNA is filed under the name Callithrix jacchus (white-tufted-ear marmoset). RNAcentral describes it as "Metazoan signal recognition particle RNA (ENSCJAG00000057523.2)". Lineage: Eukaryota; Metazoa; Chordata; Mammalia; Primates; Cebidae. The record is from RNAcentral.